CAAGGUUCCGGCUGGGCACCGCGCGCUAGCGAUUCUUUUUUUAGUUUCAUAAGAUGGAAACCUAAUCUCAGGGAACAUCUAGCUCAAUUGGCAUAAUAUAAUUUCUAAAGAAAAUGUUCUAGAAGCACCACACCAUCCCUCCAGCAAAGAUCUGAAAAACUAAGCCAAACAGAGAAAACAGCAAUCUUGAAAUUACAUGGAGAGGUUCCCUAUCAACUAAUGCAGCACGGAUCCGCCAUCUUGGACUCCUAUCAGAGACCAGCAAAUGGGGGUACAAGAAAGCAGCUUCAUAGAGCUUCCAGCAGGAAACAGAAGAACCGGAUAAUAUAAUGGAAGAGAUCAGUGGAAAAAUCGUCUAUAUGGCAAGAGUGCUUAAUUUGGAACUUGAUAUCAAUGAUGCGGAAAAGCUCAUAGAUCACAAAGAAGGGGAAUUGACAGAUCAGGACUUAAUGGAUUUUGAAGAGGAAAGAAAUGCAGAAGAAGAAAGAAAUAAUGAGGAAGAGGAAGGAGAGAAGUUGUCAAAAAAUUUACAGUGAAAGGAUUAGCUAAAGUUUUAAUUAAGUCAGGGGAUUCAGUUUUUGAAAACAGACCUAAAUGCUGAUCAUUUUGCUAAAGUCGAUAGGCAGAUUUGGCAGGUGUCUUAGUUAUCUAGUGCUGCUAUAACAGAAUACCAC
Molecule: long non-coding RNA, 674 nt
Organism: Trichechus manatus latirostris (Florida manatee)
Lineage: Eukaryota; Metazoa; Chordata; Mammalia; Sirenia; Trichechidae
Exons: 3
Source: RefSeq, a predicted model, not a curated record